AUAUUGGACAAUGGGGGCAACCCUGAUCCAGCCAUGCCGCGUGUGUGAAGAAGGUCUUNGGAUUGNANAGCACUUUAAGUUGGGANGAAGGGCUUUAGGUUAAUACCCUGAAGUUUUGACGUUACCAACAGAAUAAGCACCGUCUAACUCUUGGCCAGCAGCCGCGGUAAUACAGAGGGUGAAAGCGUGAAUCGGAAUUACUGGGCGUAAGGCACGCGUAGGUGGUUCAGUAAGUUGGGUGUGAAAUCCCCGGGCUUAACCUGGGAACUGCUUUCAUAACUGCUGAGCUAGAGUACGGUAGAGGGUAGUGGAAUUUCCUGUGUAGCGGUGAAAUGCGUAGAUAUAGGAAGGAACACCAGUGGCGAAGGCGACUACCUGGACUGAUACUGACACUGAGGCUCGAAAGCGUGGGGAGCAAACA
RNAcentral lists this ribosomal RNA (421 nucleotides) under uncultured bacterium. RNAcentral describes it as "partial 16S ribosomal RNA". It matches the Rfam family "Bacterial small subunit ribosomal RNA", at positions 361 to 774 of the family's 1533-position model. The record is from RNAcentral.